RNAcentral lists this non-coding RNA (18 nucleotides) under Arabidopsis thaliana (thale cress). The record is from RNAcentral. Lineage: Eukaryota; Viridiplantae; Streptophyta; Magnoliopsida; Brassicales; Brassicaceae.
CACAUCGUCACACAUGCA